CCCCUCCAUCUGUCCUGACUUUUCACCCCACUGCCUCCAGGGGAAGGGAACAGGGCCACUGUGGGGAAGCACAGGCGGUCAGAGGCCCCAGGCCAAUGGUGUGUCUUUUCUGAAGAGCCCUUCUCUGAGAUUCCCACAAACGCAAUCAACAGGACAAGGUUAAAAGGCAAAGGCUUUCUCAAAACACAUUCUUUUGAAAUGCUAAAUGAUAUGGCCAAAGAAGAGCUCAAUUUUCCUCUCAGGACCUCUAUUAUGGAAGAUUUUUAAACAAUCUGCUGACUUAUGAACCCUGAACUCAUGCAGAAGUGAAGGUGAGGCAGCCUCUGAGAACAAAAGCAGAAGAGUUUGAAUUGGGUCAAGUGCACUAGCUCCUGGGUCACUACUGUGAAGCACUCAACUUUCACACCGAUGCUGACAGUCUGGUUUGUUUAAAAAAGAAGAGAAUGAGGAAAGCCAUCGCAGCUUCUUCUCACAGUUACGGUUUGCUCGUUGUCUUGAUAUGGAUCUUCAGUCUGGGUACAGACAUCACAGGGUCUCUUGCACAGUUCUGGAGGGAGCAGGUUGAAGCUUACAUACAAACGCAAGCUGAACCCUUGGAGAAAGUAGAAGUCUGGAUUCAGACAAAGCAAGAUUCAAAUCCCUGCUCUACUUAUUCCUAAGAAUGAGGCCCUGCUCAAGCGGUAGCGCGCUCGCCUGGCAUGCUUGCGGCCCGGGUUCCAUCCUCAGCACCACAUACAAACAAAGAUGCUGUGUCCGCCGAGAAAAAAAAAAAAACUAAAAAUAAAUAUUAAAACACACUCUCUCUUAAAAAAAAAAAA
This is a long non-coding RNA of Marmota monax (woodchuck), 818 nucleotides long. RefSeq lists it as uncharacterized. Lineage: Eukaryota; Metazoa; Chordata; Mammalia; Rodentia; Sciuridae. The transcript is spliced from 3 exons. The record is from RefSeq and is a predicted model, not a curated record.